GCUUACGGCCAUACCACCCAGAGCACGCCCGAUCUUGUCUGAUCUCGGAAGCCAAGCAGGGUCGGGCUUGGUUAGUACUUGGAUGGAAGACCACCUGGGAAUACCAGGUGCUGUGGGCU
Molecule: ribosomal RNA, 119 nt
Organism: Betta splendens (Siamese fighting fish)
Lineage: Eukaryota; Metazoa; Chordata; Actinopteri; Anabantiformes; Osphronemidae
Source: Ensembl